This 405-nucleotide ribosomal RNA is filed under the name uncultured bacterium. RNAcentral describes it as "bacterial SSU rRNA". It matches the Rfam family "Bacterial small subunit ribosomal RNA", at positions 355 to 776 of the family's 1533-position model. The record is from RNAcentral.
UGGGGAAUCUUGCGCAAUGGGCGAAAGCCUGACGCAGCAACGCCGCGUGGGGGACGAAGGCUCUCGGGUUGUAAACCCCUUUCAGGAGGGACGAAAUUGACGGUACCUCCAGAAGAAGCCCCGGCCAACUACGUGCCAGCAGCCGCGGUAACACGUAGGGGGCGAGCGUUGUCCGGAUUUAUUGGGCGUAAAGAGCUCGUAGGUGGCUCGGUAAGUCGGGUGUGAAAUUUCGAGGCUCAACCUCGAGACGCCACCUGAUACUGCUGUGGCUAGAGUCCGGUAGGGGAGCGUGGAAUUCCUGGUGUAGCGGUGAAAUGCGCAGAUAUCAGGAGGAACACCAGCGGCGAAGGCGGCGCUCUGGGCCGGUACUGACACUGAGGAGCGAAAGCGUGGGGAUCAAACAGG